UGGGGAAUAUUGGACAAUGGGGGAAACCCUGAUCCAGCAAUGCCGCGUGUGUGAAGAAGGCCUGCGGGUUGUAAAGCACUUUCAGUAGGGAAGAUUAUGACGGUACCUACAGAAGAAGCACCGGCUAAGUCCGUGCCAGCAGCGGCGGUAAUACGGAGGGUGCAAGCGUUAAUCGGAAUUACUGGGCGUAAAGCGCACGUAGGAGGUUUGAUAAGUCGGAUGUGAAAUCCCUGGGCUUAACCUGGGAAUUGCAUUCGAUACUGUCUCACUAGAGUCUAGCAGAGGGAUGCGGAAUUCCGGGUGUGGCGGUGAAAUGCGUAGAGAUCCGGAGGAACAUCAGUGGCGAAGGCGGCAUCCUGGGCUAAGACUGACACUGAGGUGCGAAAGCGUGGGGAGCAAACAGGAUUAGAUACCCCCGUAGUCC
RNAcentral lists this ribosomal RNA (424 nucleotides) under uncultured prokaryote. Its description in RNAcentral is "bacterial SSU rRNA". It matches the Rfam family "Bacterial small subunit ribosomal RNA", at positions 355 to 796 of the family's 1533-position model. The record is from RNAcentral.